GACGUAGGGCGCAAGCGUUGUCCGGAUUUAUUGGGCGUAAAGAGCGCGCAGGCGGUCGUUCAAGUCGCGUGUGAAAGCCCCCGGCUCAACUGGGGAGGGUCACGCGAUACUGAUCGACUCGAAGGCAGGAGAGGGUAGUGGAAUUCCCGGUGUAGUGGUGAAAUGCGUAGAUAUCGGGAGGAACACCAGUGGCGAAGGCGACUACCUGGCCUGUUCUUGACGCUGAGGCGCGAAAGCUAGGGGAGCAAACGGG
Molecule: ribosomal RNA, 253 nt
Filed under: uncultured bacterium
Lineage: Bacteria
Description: partial 16S ribosomal RNA
Rfam family: Bacterial small subunit ribosomal RNA
Source: RNAcentral